This 1203-nucleotide ribosomal RNA is filed under the name metagenome. RNAcentral's name for it is "bacterial SSU rRNA". It matches the Rfam family "Bacterial small subunit ribosomal RNA", at positions 284 to 1498 of the family's 1533-position model. The record is from RNAcentral.
UAGGGGGUCUGAGAGGAUGAUCCCCCACACUGGUACUGAGACACGGACCAGACUCCUACGGGAGGCAGCAGUAAGGAAUAUUGGACAAUGGGCGAAAGCCUGAUCCAGCCAUGCCGCGUGCAGGAUGACGGCCCUAUGGGUUGUAAACUGCUUUUGGCGGGGAAAAAACCCUCAUACGUGUAUGAGGCUGAUGGUACCCGCAGAAUAAGGAUCGGCUAACUCCGUGCCAGCAGCCGCGGUAAUACGGAGGAUCCAAGCGUUAUCCGGAUUUAUUGGGUUUAAAGGGUGCGUAGGCGGAUUAGUAAGUCAGUGGUGAAAGCCUGCAGCUUAACUGUAGAACUGCCAUUGAUACUGCUAGUCUUGAAUAUAGUUGAGGUAGGCGGAAUAUGACAUGUAGCGGUGAAAUGCUUAGAUAUGUCAUAGAACACCGAUUGCGAAGGCAGCUUGCUAAGCUAUUAUUGACGCUGAGGCACGAAAGCGUGGGUAGCAAACAGGAUUAGAUACCCUGGUAGUCCACGCCCUAAACGAUGAUCACUCGAUGUUGGCGAUACACAGUCAGCGUCUAAGGGAAACCAUUAAGUGAUCCACCUGGGGAGUACGGUCGCAAGACUGAAACUCAAAGGAAUUGACGGGGGCCCGCACAAGCGGAGGAGCAUGUGGUUUAAUUCGAUGAUACGCGAGGAACCUUACCUGGGCUUGAAAGUUAGUGAAUUUUCCGGAAACGGAAGAGGCCGAAAGGACACGAAACUAGGUGCUGCAUGGCUGUCGUCAGCUCGUGCCGUGAGGUGUUGGGUUAAGUCCCGCAACGAGCGCAACCCCUAUCGUUAGUUGCCAGCGAGUAAUGUCGGGAACUCUAAUGAGACUGCCUGCGCAAGCAGUGAGGAAGGUGGGGAUGACGUCAAGUCAUCACGGCCCUUACGUCCAGGGCUACACACGUGCUACAAUGGAUGAGACAACGGGCAGCUACACAGUAAUGUGAUGCUAAUCUCUAAACUCAUUCUCAGUUCGGAUUGAGGUCUGCAACUCGACCUCAUGAAGCUGGAUUCGCUAGUAAUCGCGUAUCAGCAAUGACGCGGUGAAUACGUUCCCGGGCCUUGUACACACCGCCCGUCAAGCCAUGGGAGUUGGGGGUACCUGAAGUCGAUAACCGCAAGGAGUCGCCUAGGGUAAAACCGAUGACUGGGGCUAAGUCGAAACAAGGUA